UGUGUUCUACUCGGGCCAGAGCUCAGACAGUGAAGUUGCCGUGCUUGGCCUCCGCAUGAGGUGGUUCUCCUUACAGGUCCCCUAUCACACAGAUGAGGUGCAAAGACUCUUGAGGCAAGCGGUGUUUCUAGCUUCUAUCUCCAGCUCUAUUUUCACAUGUCUAAUUUUAACAUAAUUACACUGCACUUUACAGCACUUUUGCUGACUGUUCCAGACUGGUGACGGCCCACAGAGGACAGACGUGCUGCUGUACACGGGUUGGUAAUGGACACGAUCAAAGAAGAGUUCUUACUCAAAUUGGAAAAGGACAUCAUCAGACAACCAGACAAUCUCACAGCACGGACCACCAACAAGGUUCCUUGUUACUGGCUGAAUUGUGUCCUCCCAAAUUCAUGUGUUGAAAUCCUAACCCCUGGUACCUCAGAAUACGACUGCAUUUGGAGCUAGGGCUUUUAAAGAGGCAAUUAAGUUAAAAUGGGGUCAUUACUGUGGAUCCUAAUCCAGUGUGACUGAUGUCCUUAAAAAAGAGGAGAUUAGGACACAGACAACACAGAGACUAGAUGAAGACAGAGUGAAUAUGGCCAUCCGCAAGCCAAAGAAAGAGGCCUCUGAAGAAACCAAGUUGGGCGACACCUUGAUCUUGGAUGUCUAGCCUUCAGAACUGGGAGGAAAUAUAUUUCUAUUGUUUAAA
Long non-coding RNA from Myotis lucifugus (little brown bat), 691 nucleotides. RefSeq lists it as uncharacterized. NCBI's taxonomy places the organism in Eukaryota, Metazoa, Chordata, Mammalia, Chiroptera, Vespertilionidae. The transcript is spliced from 2 exons. The record is from RefSeq and is a predicted model, not a curated record.